This 524-nucleotide ribosomal RNA is filed under the name Mrakia blollopis. Its description in RNAcentral is "partial large subunit ribosomal RNA". It matches the Rfam family "Eukaryotic large subunit ribosomal RNA", at positions 147 to 656 of the family's 3401-position model. The record is from RNAcentral. Lineage: Eukaryota; Fungi; Basidiomycota; Tremellomycetes; Cystofilobasidiales; Mrakiaceae.
AGUCUAGAGAAUCGUUUUCCGCGUUGGCCUGUGUACAAGUCCCUUGGAACAGGGCGUCAUAGAGGGUGAGAAUCCCGUCCUUGACACAGAUUACCAAUGCUUUGUGAUGCGAUCUCGAAGAGUCGAGUUGUUUGGGAAUGCAGCUCAAAAUGGGUGGUAAAUUCCAUCUAAAGCUAAAUAUUGGCGAGAGACCGAUAGCGAACAAGUACCGUGAGGGAAAGAUGAAAAGCACUUUGGAAAGAGAGUUAAACAGUACGUGAAAUUGUUAAAAGGGAAACGAUUGAAGUCAGUCAUGCUUUCCGAGACUCAGCCGAUUCUGUCGGUGUACUUCUCGGUUGGCAGGCCAGCAUCAGUUUCGAUCUGUGGAAAAGGUUGGAGGGAACGUGGCAUCCUCGGAUGUGUUAUAGCCCUUCUUCGAAUACAUAGAGCGGGACUGAGGAACGCAGCGCGCCUUUUAUUAGGUUGGCCCUCGGGUACAUACGCGCUUAGGAUGCUGGCAUAAUGGCUUUAAACGACCCGUCUUG